Bacillus rossius redtenbacheri is the source of this 406-nucleotide long non-coding RNA. RefSeq lists it as uncharacterized. The record is from RefSeq and is a predicted model, not a curated record. Lineage: Eukaryota; Metazoa; Arthropoda; Insecta; Phasmatodea; Bacillidae. The transcript is spliced from 3 exons.
AGUAUUUGCGUGUUAUUUUGUCUAUGGCCAUGGCUUGCAAAUUCUAUAUAAUUCCAAUCCUGUCUCCCUAAGUUUCCUUACGAGGCAAAGAUACCAUUAUAAUUAUUAAAUGAAGGCUAAGAGACAUAACUUUAGAAUUUCUUGGUCUUUUUGAAUAAAAAAAUUUAUUAAUGCAUCUGUUGGACGUUAGAAAAGAGGCAUUGAACUGAUGUCCUGAAACUUCAUAAAGUUACCCAUAUUGAGGUGAAGGAAACAAUCUGCCUGUGGCUGCAACAGAGCAAAACAAGAGUAAUGAGGAGAGGAAACAGAAACCAGCAACAAGGACCAGCUGAAAAUGAUCCAAAAAUUAUAUAUGAUACUAUAGUAGAUUGCUUAUUGUAUAAAUUAUAAUAUUAAUAAAUUUUAG